UGGGGAAUUUUGGACAAUGGGGGCAACCCUGAUCCAGCCAUCCCGCGUGUGCGAUGAAGGCCUUCGGGUUGUAAAGCACUUUUGGCAGGGAAGAAACAGCCUGGGCUAAUAUCCCGGGCGACUGACGGUACCUGCAGAAUAAGCACCGGCUAACUACGUGCCAGCAGCCGCGGUAAUACGUAGGGUGCAAGCGUUAAUCGGAAUUACUGGGCGUAAAGCGUGCGCAGGCGGUUCGGAAAGAAAGGUGUGAAAUCCCAGGGCUUAACCUUGGAACUGCACUUUUAACUACCGGGCUAGAGUACGUCAGAGGGGGGUAGAAUUCCACGUGUAGCAGUGAAAUGCGUAGAGAUCGGGAGGAACAUCUGUGGCGAAGGCGACUGCCUGGACCAGCACUGACACUGAGGCACGAAAGCGUGGGGAGCAAACA
RNAcentral lists this ribosomal RNA (427 nucleotides) under uncultured bacterium. RNAcentral's name for it is "bacterial SSU rRNA". It matches the Rfam family "Bacterial small subunit ribosomal RNA", at positions 355 to 774 of the family's 1533-position model. The record is from RNAcentral.